UAGGGAAUCUUCCACAAUGGACGCAAGUCUGAUGGAGCAACGCCGCGUGAGUGAAGAAGGUUUUCGGACCGUAAAGCUCUGUUGUUGGUGAAGAAGGAUAGAGGUAGUAACUGGCCUUUAUUUGACGGUAAUCAACCAGAAAGUCACGGCUAACUACGUGCCAGCAGCCGCGGUAAUACGUAGGUGGCAAGCGUUGUCCGGAUUUAUUGGGCGUAAAGCGAGCGCAG
This 227-nucleotide ribosomal RNA is filed under the name uncultured bacterium. Its description in RNAcentral is "partial 16S ribosomal RNA". It matches the Rfam family "Bacterial small subunit ribosomal RNA", at positions 355 to 574 of the family's 1533-position model. The record is from RNAcentral.